Molecule: ribosomal RNA, 253 nt
Filed under: uncultured bacterium
Lineage: Bacteria
Description: partial 16S ribosomal RNA
Rfam family: Bacterial small subunit ribosomal RNA
Source: RNAcentral
UACGGAGGGAGCUAGCGUUGUUCGGAAUUACUGGGCGUAAAGCGCGCGUAGGCGGCUUUGUAAGUUAGAGGUGAAAGCCCGGGGCUCAACCCCGGAAUUGCCUUUAAGACUGCAUCGCUUGAAUCCGGGAGAGGUGAGUGGAAUUCCGAGUGUAGAGGUGAAAUUCGUAGAUAUCAGGAGGAACACCUGUGGCGAAAGCGGCUCACUGGACCAUAACUGACGCUGAUGCACGAAAGCUAGGGGAGCAAACAGG